RNAcentral lists this ribosomal RNA (265 nucleotides) under uncultured bacterium. RNAcentral describes it as "partial 16S ribosomal RNA". It matches the Rfam family "Bacterial small subunit ribosomal RNA", at positions 90 to 354 of the family's 1533-position model. The record is from RNAcentral.
UUCGAGUGGCGGACGGGUGAGUAACGCGUGGGUAACCUGCCUUACACAGGGGGAUAACACCUGGAAACAGGUGCUAAUACCGCAUAAGCGCACAGGGCCGCAUGGCCCGGUGUGAAAAACUCCGGUGGUGUAAGAUGGACCCGCGUCUGAUUAGCUUGUUGGCGGGGGUAGAGGCCCACCAAGGCGACGAUCAGUAGCCGGCCUGAGAGGGUGGACGGCCACAUUGGGACUGAGACACGGCCCAAACUCCUACGGGAGGCAGCAG